GACGAACGCUGGCGGCGUGCCUAAUACAUGCAAGUCGAACGAAGCUGUUUUAACUGGUGCUUGCACCGACUUAAACAACUGAGUGGCGAACGGGUGAGUAACACGUGGGUAACCUGCCCCAAAGCGGGGGAUAACAUUUGGAAACAGAUGCUAAUACCGCAUAACCACAGAAACCACAUGGUCUCUGUGUCAAAGAUGGUUUCGGCUAUCACUUUGGGAUGGACCCGCGGCGUAUUAGCUAGUUGGUAAGGUAAUGGCUUACCAAGGCAAUGAUACGUAGCCGAACUGAGGGGUUGGUCGGCCACAUUGGGACUGAGACACGGCCCAAACUCCUACGGGAGGCAGCAGUAGGGAAUCUUCCACAAUGGACGAAAGUCUGAUGGAGCAACGCCGCGUGAGUGAUGAAGGUUUUCGGAUCGUAAAACUCUGUUGUAAGGGAAGAACACGUACGAGAGGGAAUGCUCGUACCUUGACGGUAUCUGGCCAGAAAGCCACGGCUAACUACGUGCCAGCCGCCGCUGUAA
This 524-nucleotide ribosomal RNA is filed under the name uncultured bacterium. RNAcentral's name for it is "partial 16S ribosomal RNA". It matches the Rfam family "Bacterial small subunit ribosomal RNA", at positions 28 to 523 of the family's 1533-position model. The record is from RNAcentral.